CCAGGCAGCCCCACGGAGCGAGGGAGCAGGCUCUGACCCCGCGAGCGCCCACGGGCCUCGGCAGAUGUAGCAAGAUGGAUAAGGCCCUGGCCCCCUGGAGGAGGACAGUACUCGCAUGAACAAAUGAGUACCCAGCAGUGUCUCAGAGGAAGCUGUUCAGCUGUGCCAAAGCUCCAGGGCUCCAGGAUGGAGUCAGCACCAUUUCAGGGAACUGGGAUUCCUGACGGGGGAUGCAGCAGGAGCUCCACAAUUAUUCUACCCCUGCUGAAUUGUCUGCCAUGUACAAAUGCAGGAUGCAGCCAUGCCCAGUGACCCGUCCAUGUCAGGUCCUCACUUGCUCUUCGCUCUCUGCAUGCUGCGAACCACCUCCAUUGUUAACAGCCGCUCCAGGGGGCAUCUAGUGCCCAGGGGAGAGGUGCCUGAAACACCAUCACCAGACCUAUAUCUUCACGUCCUUGCCUUGAAAGGAAGCCUCUCAAAAUCCAAGAACCAGAGAAUUAAAACUACGCUUAGGUCAACACAGUGCCGGUGUUCAGAUGAAAAUACUGCAAGAUCGUCAAACACAUAGAUGAAUUUUUCAAGCCACCCAAAACCUGGAUAAUGUUGAACAUUUGGAUAAUCAAAUAUAGCAACUCUAUCCAGUCUCUCUUUUGGAUGACUCACUGGACACUUUUAUAGACUGGGAAUUUUUUGACUACAAUAAUAACCAUCCUGCCAUUGAAGUUCAGCUGUUCACCGUGGCCUGGUGUCACAUAGCUACAGCUGAUGGUACUGUGUUAUGUACGAGAUAGUGAUAUGUAAAGACCAGUUUUUUACCAGACUGCUUUUCAUAAAAAGAUGUUUAAAAAGACUGGAACAUAGCACUCAAGUUUCCUCCUAAACAAUGAAUGCUCUGGCCUACAGGCCUUCUGAGAUCUGGAGACCCAUUCUUCAAAAGAGAAAGACUAUGCAUGAAAUUUAAUCCAUGCCCUCUCCUCUUAAUCAGGUUACAGAGAGAGAGGAAGGGGUGGAAGGACCUGCCAUUGAGCUGAGAGUGAAAUGCCACCGGGGUCUUUGGGACCCUAUCAAAGGCUGGGACCCUGAGACCUGUGAGGCCUGGCUGGUGCUUAAUAACGAGCUUCUGUAGUUUGCUGACCAGAAACCUCCUCACUCGUUAAAGUCGCUCCACACACUAGAAUGUGAGCUCUGCGCAAGCCAAGGAUUUGCCCUCCUUGUUUAUGAUGGUAGCACAUGCUUAAAACGGCGCCUGGCCCGUGCUGGGACAUGCAUCUUCUGCCCUUGGCCAUUGGCUCUUUGGUUCUCGAGCCUUCAGGCUUGGAUUGCAUUCCUCACACCACUGGCUUUCCCGGUUCUCCAGAUGGCAGCGCGUGGGACUUCUCAGCCUCCGGAAUUAU
This 1394-nucleotide long non-coding RNA is filed under the name Equus caballus (horse). RNAcentral describes it as "lncRNA (ENSECAG00000030423.2)". The record is from RNAcentral. Lineage: Eukaryota; Metazoa; Chordata; Mammalia; Perissodactyla; Equidae.